GUGCGUCUCACGCGACCGCUUCUCUUUCCUCCACUACUGUCCUGAGGUCAGUGAGAACAGCACAAACGCUGAAAACCCGUCCUAAAGGGGUGGUGCUCUGUACACACUCAAGUACAACUUGGGAGGGAAGUCUGGCUAAUUCGCUGAAGCUGUUGACGCUUUUAAACGGACUCCAUCGAGUGAACACAGGUGUCCGCAGGGGUCAAGGGUGACGACCCCUCCUCUGUUUUCAAUCCUGCAAUGUUCCGCUUCAAUGCCCGGACCCUCAAUAGUGAUGUCCUGAGGUACAGGGGCGUCAUCGCGACCUAUGCGUGUCACUCCUAGACAAUAAAGACACUCGUUUUGUAAGUAUGAGAUUUGUGAGUUUAAUUUAAGAAAGACCUACCACUUCAGUGUGAGUAAAUUGUGGAGUAGCAAUAUGUUCAUGAUUCUCUUUUGUCAUACAAAAAACAACCAUUGCAGCAAUGCUUGGCAGCCUUAGACUUCUGUUUCAUGGAGAAAAGCAGGAUGAACAUUCUUCACUAUUCAUUUUCCCCCAUGGAAUAUGAGUUGGAGAGGUAUAAAGGUAGACAGGCGUGUUCCUGCAGGAAUGUCCCAGUAUUUUGCUUUGGAGAAUGGCUUAGGUAUGUCACCCCAGGAUCAAAAUACCAGCUACAUUCCUCUCUAGCACCUCUCCGUCCAAUCAGCUCGUAGGAUUACAGAUGUGGGCGACUGUGGGGCGAUAAGGGCAGGUUUGCUAUUUACACGCUGGAAGAUCUUUGUUCGCUGACCCUGACUAUGGCUUUAAUCAUCAAGACCUCUUGAUCCAGGUAAUGUUCAGGCAUGUUUAGACAGCUAACAAACAAGCCAGAUUGUUCAUAAAGACUGUGGGUUUUUUACACACAGGAAAGAAAUCAAACAGGGGAAGGAAGAGGGGGGUGAGUGUUAAUUUGAAAACAACAUUAAUUUUAUGAGCCACCGAGACAGGAUGAGAGAUAAGACACACACACAGAAGAAUAAUGAGACAUCAGAUCAAUGAUGGAGUGAGCAAGGCCAGAAUUUGACACAAAACGCUUUUUGAGACUUUGUGCUUUUGCGCAAGACACGAUGUGGGAGGACAUUCCUGAAAACUCAGCUGUAGCACACAUGGGACGAUCAAAGAGGCAUUGCACAUUUCAAAGUCUCACCCAGAGCUGCAGGACGGGUGGUGACGGCCACAUACAAGGUUAGCGUUUCGGCAGACGGGUGGGAGAUUUAAAAAGGGAAACGGUCUGUCAGCCUUCCCCUGUUUUCAUUCCUUUCCUCCAUCAGAUAUAACCAGAUCACUGGCAGAAACGCGCUCGCUUUCCAGGUCAUUUCCAAAUGCGUUUGCCGUGGGCUGAUCUUGGUUGUGAUGGCUGGGUUAAUCUUUCUGCCUUCCAUAUACGAGCUGUGACCAGAAUGGCAUUCUAGCUUACUAUUUAUUGUUAUCCGCUAUACAAGUAUUAAAACGUAAUAUUUAUUGUUAACAUCUGUUCCUUUAAUAUAAAUUCACAGUUAUGCCAUU
This 1525-nucleotide long non-coding RNA is filed under the name Danio rerio (zebrafish). RNAcentral's name for it is "si:dkey-11p10.11 (ENSDARG00000096452.4)". The record is from RNAcentral. Lineage: Eukaryota; Metazoa; Chordata; Actinopteri; Cypriniformes; Danionidae.